RNAcentral lists this ribosomal RNA (254 nucleotides) under uncultured prokaryote. RNAcentral describes it as "partial 16S ribosomal RNA". It matches the Rfam family "Bacterial small subunit ribosomal RNA", at positions 524 to 776 of the family's 1533-position model. The record is from RNAcentral.
UACAGAGGGGGCGAGCGUUGUUCGGAAUUACUGGGCGUAAAGGGCGCGUAGGCGGCAUGACAAGUCACUUGUGAAAUCUUCGGGCUUAACCCGGAACGGCCAAGUGAUCCUGUCGCGCUAGAGUGCGGAAGGGGCAAUCGGAAUUCUCGGUGUAGCGGUGAAAUGCGUAGAUAUCGAGAGGAACACCUGAGGUGAAGACGGGUUGCUGGGCCGACACUGACGCUGAGUGCGCGAAAGCCAGGGGAGCAAACGGG